UACGUAGGGGGCUAGCGUUGUCCGGAAUCAUUGGGCGUAAAGCGCGUGUAGGCGGUCCGGUAAGUCCGCUGUGAAAAGUCGGGGGGCUCAACCCUCGAAUGCCGAUGGAUACUGUCGGGCUAGAGUGCGGAAGAGGCGAGUGGAAUUCCUGGUGUAGCGGUGAAAUGCGCAGAUAUCAGGAGGAACACCAAUUGCGAAGGCAGCUCGCUGGGACGUUACUGACGCUGAGACGCGAAAGCGUGGGGAGCAAACAGG
This 255-nucleotide ribosomal RNA is filed under the name uncultured bacterium. RNAcentral's name for it is "partial 16S ribosomal RNA". It matches the Rfam family "Bacterial small subunit ribosomal RNA", at positions 524 to 776 of the family's 1533-position model. The record is from RNAcentral.